Gossypium arboreum is the source of this 104-nucleotide non-coding RNA. NCBI's taxonomy places the organism in Eukaryota, Viridiplantae, Streptophyta, Magnoliopsida, Malvales, Malvaceae. The record is from Rfam.
AUGUGAUGAAGGCAUUUGCAUAGUAGUUCUAUAAAUCUUUCCCAUGCCUCAUAUAGGGAUUCAUCGUCUAAUUUCUUAAAGCUUGUGAUCUCAUUCCUUAACAU